GCUAUUUUGGAAAUAUCUACCAUUAUAUUUGGUAAUGCAGGAACUAAGGUAAGACAAAGCGUCAUAAAGUACUCAGUUUAUUUUAUGAUGACAGUGAAGUAAGGCUUUAUAGCUCAUGGUAAAGAGUACAAUGUUAACCAUCUCUUCCUUCCCAGGGCCUUGAAUUUCCUUUAUCUUUCCCCUAGUAUCUACCUUUUAGUUUCUUUUUGCUUUCAUCACCAGGAUCUUAGUAUUUCAAGAGAAAAGGUUUAAAUGUAUGUCAACAAAUAUUCUCUCAGACGUUUUACUUAGAAACAUCUGAAUGGUUCAGAAGGGAUGGCACAGCCUUUAAAUAAGGUUAUAUUACUACCGCCAUUUAGCUUUAAAGGAGUAAAUGC
This 377-nucleotide long non-coding RNA is filed under the name Bos taurus (domestic cattle). RNAcentral's name for it is "long non-coding RNA NONBTAT023944". The record is from RNAcentral. Lineage: Eukaryota; Metazoa; Chordata; Mammalia; Artiodactyla; Bovidae.